Molecule: ribosomal RNA, 429 nt
Filed under: Chloroflexota bacterium
Lineage: Bacteria; Bacillati; Chloroflexota
Description: Chloroflexi bacterium partial 16S ribosomal RNA
Rfam family: Bacterial small subunit ribosomal RNA
Source: RNAcentral
UGGGGAAUAUUGCACAAUGGGCGCAAGCCUGAUGCAGCCAUGCCGCGUGUGUGAAGAAGGCCUUCGGGUUGUAAAGCACUUUCAGCGGGGAGGAAGGGAGUAAAGUUAAUACCUUUGCUCAUUGACGUUACCCGCAGAAGAAGCACCGGCUAACUCCGUGCCAGCAGCCGCGGUAAUACGGAGGGUGCAAGCGUUAAUCGGAAUUACUGGGCGUAAAGCGCACGCAGGCGGUUUGUUAAGUCAGAUGUGAAAUCCUCGGGCUCAACCUGGGAACUGCAUCUGAUACUGGCAAGCUUGAGUCUCGUAGAGGGGGGUAGAAUUCCAGGUGUAGCGGUGUAAUGCGUAGAGAUCUGGAGGAAUACCGGUGGCGAAGGCGGCCCCCUGGACGAAGACUGACGCUCAGGUGCGAAAGCGUGGGGAGCAAACAGG